This 25-nucleotide non-coding RNA is filed under the name Mus musculus (house mouse). Lineage: Eukaryota; Metazoa; Chordata; Mammalia; Rodentia; Muridae. The record is from RNAcentral.
UGCAAGAAUAAGUCUCCUGAUCCAG